RNAcentral lists this ribosomal RNA (252 nucleotides) under uncultured bacterium. RNAcentral's name for it is "partial 16S ribosomal RNA". It matches the Rfam family "Bacterial small subunit ribosomal RNA", at positions 524 to 775 of the family's 1533-position model. The record is from RNAcentral.
UACGUAGGGGGCGAGCGUUGUCCGGAGUUACUGGGCGUAAAGGGCAUGUAGGCGGUCCGAUCAGUUUGGGGUUACAGCUCCCGGCUUAACUGGGAGAGCGCCUCGAAGACGGUGGGACUUGAGAGCCAGAGAGGGACACAGAAUUCCGGGUGUAGUGGUGAAAUGCGUAGAUAUCCGGAGGAAUACCAAAGGCGAAGGCAGUGUCCUGGCUGGUAUCUGACGCUGAGGUGCGAAAGCCAGGGGAGCGAACGG